GUGGGAUUUGUUGAGGUGGAAGAGGACGAAGUGCCUGCUGUCGAUGAUGGACCGCCACCACUUGCAGGUAGACCGCAGCCGGAUCACCGACUUCACCGGUAGACGGGACAGGAUUUCGGUCACUACUUCCACCGGAAGGGUUUGCUUCCGGAGAAAUCCAGAUUGUGAGUAUUACCAACUGCAACUCGCCUUUCGACAAACUGAGACUCAUGUGGGCUCGAAGAGGUCAGUCUAAGGCUCAAUUCAGUUGAGCUGCUAAGCUUGAGCUCUUUAUCAACCUGGGCCUGCAAAAAAUGCUAAAGCUCUUUGGACCCCAGAUUCUCUCGCUCAAAAUAAAAUAAAGCACACCCUAGAAGUUCUGGACAAUGCUUAGGAAUGGCAAAAUGGUACAAAAAUCAAGCUAUUAAUUACCUACUGAGUCACAAAAAGUAAACAACAAAAACAACAGCUUAUCUCUUAUGUAUUUGUUGUAAUGAAAUCCCAUAUUCUUAUAAUUGAAUCGGAAAUCCAUUUGAUUACUUUUGAGAAGGCAUGCUAGUGGCAGUUGUAGUGAUGUUGUUUGCAUGGUUGCUACAAAAUAAUUAGUCAUUUUCUAUUCUUGUUUCCUGAUUUGAGGACCACCGCUGUCCACUGGGUAGUACUUUAAAACCAACAUGAAAUUAACCUAGAGGCCACCUCACCAUUUUUCAUUUUCUGUCUCCAAGUGGAUGAUUAUAUUUUGAACGAAUCAAAAGUGCAAUAAACGAUUGUCUCUUCACCGUAUCCAUUUGCACAUAACAAUAGUUACGCAAACAUGAGCAAGAGUAUUUUCAAUUUACUUCAUGGUCCCCAAUUCAUCAAAAUAAUUUAUAAGAAAACAUAUUUUUUGUCCACCGCAUAAACAAUUUAAUUUGUUCCUCUUAUUAUCAGCAUAACAAUAUUGCAAGUAGCAUUUGUGUUUUGGCAGACCUGCACUUUUUAUCAUUAUGACGCAGACCUGCACUUUUGUGGGUUAGACAAAGUUUAUUUGCUUACAAGAUCACUAGAUACGAACCAGUCACGGAUAAGAAAAUGCUGAGUAAUCAGGUAUGCAAACCUUAUCCAAGGUGACACCGACCCUGCAUGCCUCCAAAUUACAAACAGUUAGGUGGAAUAACCACAAUUAGUUUUUAAAAAGAACUUAGCAAAGCGAAUACGAUGCCAUUUCAUGGUAAUUUGCCAAAGACAAAAACAUCAUGAUUUUUCAGUUCAAUUUCUACAUUAUUGAUUUGCAUAAGGGAAUAUUUUCUUGUAACGAGGGAUGUUUCUUCAAAUAUGUAUAUUUGAAUUUUGAGUUCGUUAUGUUAAUGUUUUUUGUUGUGUUGUUAA
Long non-coding RNA from Glycine soja, 1347 nucleotides. RefSeq lists it as uncharacterized. Lineage: Eukaryota; Viridiplantae; Streptophyta; Magnoliopsida; Fabales; Fabaceae. The transcript is spliced from 3 exons. The record is from RefSeq and is a predicted model, not a curated record.